This 195-nucleotide ribosomal RNA is filed under the name uncultured bacterium. RNAcentral's name for it is "partial 16S ribosomal RNA". It matches the Rfam family "Bacterial small subunit ribosomal RNA", at positions 335 to 527 of the family's 1533-position model. The record is from RNAcentral.
ACUCCUACGGGAGGCAGCAGUGAGGAAUAUUGGGCAAUGGGUGAGAGCCUGAUCCAGCCAUCCCGCGUGAAGGACGACGGCCCUAUGGGUUGUAAACUUCUUUUGUACAGGGAUAAACCUUUCCACGUGUGGAAAGCUGAAGGUACUGUACGAAUAAGCACCGGCUAACUCCGUGCCAGCAGCCGCGGUAAUACA